Molecule: non-coding RNA, 77 nt
Filed under: Saccharopolyspora spinosa
Lineage: Bacteria; Bacillati; Actinomycetota; Actinomycetes; Pseudonocardiales; Pseudonocardiaceae
Source: RNAcentral
UUGAGCCGUGUGCCGCAACGAGUGGCACGCACGGUUCUAGGGGGGAUCGGCGGGACAACCCGCCGGUCCUACCCGAC